Molecule: ribosomal RNA, 759 nt
Filed under: uncultured Pseudomonadota bacterium
Lineage: Bacteria; Pseudomonadati; Pseudomonadota
Description: bacterial SSU rRNA
Rfam family: Bacterial small subunit ribosomal RNA
Source: RNAcentral
CAAACAGGAUUAGAUACCCUGGUAGUCCACGCCGUAAACGAUGAUAACUAGCUGUCCGGGCUCAUAGAGCUUGGGUGGCGCAGCUAACGCAUUAAGUUAUCCGCCUGGGGAGUACGGUCGCAAGAUUAAAACUCAAAGGAAUUGACGGGGGCCUGCACAAGCGGUGGAGCAUGUGGUUUAAUUCGAAGCAACGCGCAGAACCUUACCAGCCUUUGACAUCCUAGGACGGCUUCUGGAGACAGAUUCCUUCCCUUCGGGGACCUAGUGACAGGUGCUGCAUGGCUGUCGUCAGCUCGUGUCGUGAGAUGUUGGGUUAAGUCCCGCAACGAGCGCAACCCUCGUCCUUAGUUGCCAUCAUUUAGUUGGGCACUUUAAGGAAACUGCCGGUGAUAAGCCGGAGGAAGGUGGGGAUGACGUCAAGUCCUCAUGGCCCUUACAGGCUGGGCUACACACGUGCUACAAUGGCAUCUACAGUGAGCAGCGAUCCCGCGAGGGUUAGCUAAUCUCCAAAAGAUGUCUCAGUUCGGAUUGUUCUCUGCAACUCGAGAGCAUGAAGGCGGAAUCGCUAGUAAUCGCGGAUCAGCAUGCCGCGGUGAAUACGUUCCCAGGCCUUGUACACACCGCCCGUCACACCAUGGGAGUUGGAUUCACCCGAAGGUAGUGCGCUAACCGCAAGGAGGCAGCUAACCACGGUGGGUUCAGCGACUGGGGUGAAGUCGUAACAAGGUAGCCGUAGGGGAACCUGCGGCUGGAUCACCU